AUCCAUCUGACGAGACCUAAAUAGAAUGAAGCGUGCGUCAUGGAU
RNAcentral lists this non-coding RNA (45 nucleotides) under Schistosoma haematobium. Lineage: Eukaryota; Metazoa; Platyhelminthes; Trematoda; Strigeidida; Schistosomatidae. The record is from RNAcentral.